AUUGAACGCUGGCGGCAUGCCUUACACAUGCAAGUCGAACGGUAACAGGUCUUCGGAUGCUGACGAGUGGCGAACGGGUGAGUAAUACAUCGGAACGUGCCUAGUAGUGGGGGAUAACUACUCGAAAGAGUGGCUAAUACCGCAUGCGAUCUACGGAUGAAAGCAGGGGAUCGCAAGACCUUGUGCUACUAGAGCGGCCGAUGGCAGAUUAGGCAGUGGGUGGGAUAAAAGCUUACCAAGCCGACGAUCUGUAGCUGGUCUGAGAGGACGAUCAGCCACACUGGGACUGGGACACGGCCCAGACUCCUACGGGAGGCAGCAGUGGGGAAUUUUGGACAAUGGGCGAAAGGCUGAUCCAGCAAUGCCGCGUGCAGGAUGAAGGCCUUCGGGUUGUAAACUGCUUUUGUACGGAGCGAAAAGCACCGGGUUAAUACCCUGGGGUCAUGACGGUACCGUAAGAAUAAGCACCGGCUAACUACGUGCCAGCCGCCGCCGUAA
This 498-nucleotide ribosomal RNA is filed under the name uncultured bacterium. Its description in RNAcentral is "partial 16S ribosomal RNA". It matches the Rfam family "Bacterial small subunit ribosomal RNA", at positions 30 to 523 of the family's 1533-position model. The record is from RNAcentral.